This 163-nucleotide unclassified non-coding RNA is filed under the name uncultured Nectriaceae. RNAcentral describes it as "sequence contains ITS1". Lineage: Eukaryota; Fungi; Ascomycota; Sordariomycetes; Hypocreales; Nectriaceae. The record is from RNAcentral.
CCGAGUUUACAACUCCCAAACCCCUGUGAACAUACCUAUCGUUGCUUCGGCGGGAUCGCCCCGGCGCCCCCGUGCCCGGAUCCAGGCGCCCGCCGGAGGACCCCAAACUCUUGUUUAUCCCCCCCGGGAUGUAUCCUCUGAGCGGUACAAGCAAAUAAAAUCA